This 461-nucleotide ribosomal RNA is filed under the name uncultured bacterium. Its description in RNAcentral is "partial 16S ribosomal RNA". It matches the Rfam family "Bacterial small subunit ribosomal RNA", at positions 338 to 795 of the family's 1533-position model. The record is from RNAcentral.
CCUACGGGAGGCUGCAGUGAGGAAUAUUGGUCAAUGGGCGAGAGCCUGAACCAGCCAAGUCGCGUGAAGGAUGAUGGCCCUACGGGUUGUAAACUUCUUUUGUCAGGGAGCAAUUGGGUCCACGCGUGGGCUUAGCGAGAGUACCUGAAGAAAAAGCAUCGGCUAACUCCGUGCCAGCAGCCGCGGUAAUACGUAGGUGGCAAGCGUUGUCCGGAUUGACUGGGUGUAAAGGGCAUGUAGCCGGGCUGACAAGUCAGAUGUGAAAUCCGGGGGCUCAACCCCCGAACUGCAUUUGAAACUGUUGGUCUUGAGUAUAUGAGAGGCAGGCGGAAUUCCUAGUGUAGCGGUGAAAUGCGUAGAUAUUAGGAAGAACACCAGUGGCGAAGGCGGCCUGCUGGACGACAACUGACGGUGAGGCGCGAAAGCGUGGGGAGCAAACAGGAUUAGAUACCCCUGUAGUC